This 386-nucleotide ribosomal RNA is filed under the name uncultured Staphylococcus sp. RNAcentral describes it as "bacterial SSU rRNA". It matches the Rfam family "Bacterial small subunit ribosomal RNA", at positions 70 to 446 of the family's 1533-position model. The record is from RNAcentral. Lineage: Bacteria; Bacillati; Bacillota; Bacilli; Caryophanales; Staphylococcaceae.
CAGACGAGGAGCUUGCUCCUCUGACGUUAGCGGCGGACGGGUGAGUAACACGUGGAUAACCUACCUAUAAGACUGGGAUAACUUCGGGAAACCGGAGCUAAUACCGGAUAAUAUAUUGAACCGCAUGGUUCAAUAGUGAAAGACGGUUUUGCUGUCACUUAUAGAUGGAUCCGCGCCGCAUUAGCUAGUUGGUAAGGUAACGGCUUACCAAGGCAACGAUGCGUAGCCGACCUGAGAGGGUGAUCGGCCACACUGGAACUGAGACACGGUCCAGACUCCUACGGGAGGCAGCAGUAGGGAAUCUUCCGCAAUGGGCGAAAGCCUGACGGAGCAACGCCGCGUGAGUGAUGAAGGUCUUCGGGUCGUAAAACUCUGUUAUUAGGGAA